UGUAGCGGUACAAGAUGGGGUUGCGGUCCAUUAGGUUGUUGGUGGGGUAGAGGCCUACCAAGCCCGCGAUGGAUAGCCGAUCUGAGAGGUUGAUCGGCCACAUUGGGACUGAGAUACGGCCCAGACUCCUACGGGAGGCAGCAGUGGGGAAUAUUGCGCAAUGGAGGCAACUCUGACGCAGCAACGCCGUGUGCAGGAUGACGGCCUUAGGGUUGUAAACUGCUUUCAGUAGGGAAGAAGUAAUUGACGGUACCUACACAAGAAGCUCCGGCUAACUACGUGCCAGCAGCCGCGGUAAUACGUAGGGAGCAAGCGUUAUCCGGAUUUAUUGGGCGUAAAGCGCGCGCAGGCGGGUGUUUAAGCGGGACUUCUAACCCGAGGGCUCAACCCCCGGGCGGGUCCCGAACUGGACAUCUUGAGUGCGGUAGAGGCAAGUGGAAUUCCAUGUGUAGCGGUGAAAUGCGCAGAUAUAUGGAAGAACACCGAUAGCGAAGGCAGCUUGCUGGGCCGACACUGACGCUGAGGUGCGAAAGCUAGGGGAGCAAACAGGAUUAGAUACCCUGGUAGUCCUAGCCGUAAACGAUGGACACUAGGUGUGGGGGUCAUGUGACCUCUGUGCCGCAGCUAACGCAUUAAGUGUCCCGCCUGGGGAGUACGACCGCAAGGUUAAAACUCAAAGGAAUUGACGGGGACCCGCACAAGCAGCGGAGCAUGUGGCUUAAUUCGAAGCAACGCGAAGAACCUUACCAGGGCUUGACAUAUAGAUGAAGCUAUGGAAACAUAGUGGCUUAAUUGAGUCUAUACAGGUGGUGCAUGGCUGUCGUCAGCUCGUGUCGUGAGAUGUUGGGUUAAGUCCCGCAACGAGCGCAACCCUUGUCACAUGUUGCCAGCAUUUAGUUGGGGACUCAUGUGAGACUGCCGGCGUUAAGCCGGAGGAAGGUGGGGAUGACGUCGAGUCAUCAUGCCCCUUAUGUCCUGGGCUGCACACGUGCUACAAUGGUUGGUACAGAGGGCUGCCAGUCCGCGAGGAUGAGCGAAUCCCCCAAAGCCAGCCUUAGUUCGGAUUGCAGGCUGAAACCCGCCUGCAUGAAGUCGGAGUUGCUAGUAAUCGCGAAUCAGCACGUCGCGGUGAAUGCGUUCCCGGGUCUUGCACACACCGCCGGUCA
Molecule: ribosomal RNA, 1166 nt
Filed under: uncultured bacterium
Lineage: Bacteria
Description: bacterial SSU rRNA
Rfam family: Bacterial small subunit ribosomal RNA
Source: RNAcentral